UUCGGAUCGCCGCGCGGGAGGAGAAGGAGGCUGCUCUUUAGAUAGAGAGGAACUAUGAGUUUAAAAGCUAUAUUAGUAUUGCUACAGUACAAAAUGAUCUCUGAUUAUGGAAACAUCUGCAUACCUAGAAGAGGAUUUGAUGGAUAAGAACGACUGACCCUGAACCUGACAAAAGAUGUAUAAGGAUGAAGGUUGGCAGCUGGAAUUCAGGAAGCAACUGGGUGAUACAGUUCAAGGCUUCCAAUUUUGAUUAGAGACUACAGCAAUGACAUGAGGGAGUCCUGAG
Long non-coding RNA from Sceloporus undulatus (fence lizard), 286 nucleotides. RefSeq lists it as uncharacterized. The transcript is spliced from 6 exons. The record is from RefSeq and is a predicted model, not a curated record. NCBI's taxonomy places the organism in Eukaryota, Metazoa, Chordata, Lepidosauria, Squamata, Phrynosomatidae.